RNAcentral lists this ribosomal RNA (465 nucleotides) under uncultured bacterium. RNAcentral's name for it is "partial 16S ribosomal RNA". It matches the Rfam family "Bacterial small subunit ribosomal RNA", at positions 28 to 507 of the family's 1533-position model. The record is from RNAcentral.
GAUGAACGCUGGCGGCGUGCUUAACACAUGCAAGUCGAACGGAAAGGCUCCUGCUUGCCGGCUUACUCGAUUGGCGAACGGGUGAGUAACACGUGGGUGAUCUGCCCCUCACUUCGUGAUAAGCCUUGGAAACUGGGUCUAAUACCGCAUAGGACGAUUGUUGGGAUGCCGUUGAGAAGAGUUUUUCGGUGUUGGUUGGGCUCGCGGACUAUCAGCUUGUUGGUGGAGUAAUGGCCUACCAAGGCGUCGACGGGUAGCCGGCCUGAGAGGGUGUACGGCCACAUUGGGACUGAGGGACGGCCCAGACUCCUACGGGAGGCAGCAGUGGGGAAUAUUGCGCAAUGGGGGCAAGCCUGAGGCAGCGACGCCGCGUGGGGGAUGACGGCCUUCGGGUUGUAAACACCUUUCGCUAGGGACGAAGCGCAAGUGACGGUACCUGGAGAAGAAGCACCGGCUAACUACGUG